GAUGAAGAACGCAGCGAAAUGCGAUAAGUAAUGUGAAUUGCAGAAUCCAGUGAAUCAUCGAAUCUUUGAACGCACAUUGCGCCCGCCAGUAUUCUGGCGGGCAUGCCUGUCCGAGCGUCAUUUCAACCAUCAAGCCCCAGGCUUGUGUUGGGGACCUGCGUCCGACGCAGGCCCUGAAAACCAGUGGCGGGCUCGCUGUCCACACCGAGCGUAGUAACUAACCUCGCUACGGGAGCGGCGCGGGCGCCUGCCGUAAAACCCCCAAUUUUCACAAGGUUGACCUCGGAUCAGGUAGGAAUACCCGCUGAACUUAAGCAUAUCAAUAAGCGA
RNAcentral lists this unclassified non-coding RNA (330 nucleotides) under soil metagenome. Its description in RNAcentral is "partial contains 5.8S ribosomal RNA, internal transcribed spacer 2, and large subunit ribosomal RNA". The stretch from base 1 to 120 matches the Rfam family "5.8S ribosomal RNA", at positions 35 to 154 of the family's 154-position model. The record is from RNAcentral.